GAUGAACGCUGGCGGCGUGCCUAAUACAUGCAAGUCGAGCGAACAGACGAGGAGCUUGCUCCUCUGACGUUAGCGGCGGACGGGUGAGUAACACGUGGAUAACCUACCUAUAAGACUGGGAUAACUUCGGGAAACCGGAGCUAAUACCGGAUAAUAUAUUGAACCGCAUGGUUCAAUAGUGAAAGACGGUUUUGCUGUCACUUAUAGAUGGAUCCGCGCCGCAUUAGCUAGUUGGUAAGGUAACGGCUUACCAAGGCAACGAUGCGUAGCCGACCUGAGAGGGUGAUCGGCCACACUGGAACUGAGACACGGUCCAGACUCCUACGGGAGGCAGCAGUAGGGAAUCUUCCGCAAUGGGCGAAAGCCUGACGGAGCAACGCCGCGUGAGUGAUGAAGGUCUUCUGAUCGUAAAACUCUGUUAUUAGGGAAGAACAAAUGUGUAAGUAACUAUGCACGUCUUGACGGUACCUAAUCAGAAAGCCACGGCUAAUUACGUG
This 497-nucleotide ribosomal RNA is filed under the name uncultured bacterium. RNAcentral describes it as "partial 16S ribosomal RNA". It matches the Rfam family "Bacterial small subunit ribosomal RNA", at positions 28 to 507 of the family's 1533-position model. The record is from RNAcentral.